This 492-nucleotide long non-coding RNA is filed under the name Vitis vinifera (wine grape). RNAcentral's name for it is "long non-coding RNA (VVIN_LNC003433)". Lineage: Eukaryota; Viridiplantae; Streptophyta; Magnoliopsida; Vitales; Vitaceae. The record is from RNAcentral.
GAAGAUCCACACAAGCACCCAGCUUCAAUGUGUCAAUUGGGCACGUCGCUGAGGCAGGUGGCGGUGGGCAAGGCGUUCCCACCGGUGGUUUAUUCACUGGAGGAGUCACGACCGGAGGGACGGUGAUCGGUGGCUUAAUAAUGGGAGGGACUGUGAUGGGAGGGACUGUAACGGGAGGUUUAACAAUGGGAGGGACAGUGAUGGGAGGGACUGUAAUGGGAGGUUUAACAAUGGGAGGAACAGUGAUGGGAGGGACUGUAAUGGGAGGUUUAACAAUGGGAGGGACAGUGAUGGGAGGGACUGUAAUGGGAGGUUUAACAAUGGGAGGGACAACCGGUGGCAGGGUGAUAGGAGGCUUAACAAUGGGAGGGACAACCGGUGGCACGGUGAUAGGAGGCUUAACAAUGGGAGGACGAGUAAUGGGGGGCUUUCCUUUGGGUGGCUUGUGGUGGGAAGGGGGCUUGUGGUGGAAAGGGGGCUUGUGCUGGGGAG